AUUGAACGCUGGCGGCAGGCCUAACACAUGCAAGUCGAGCGGAUGAAGGGAGCUUGCUCCUGGAUUCAGCGGCGGACGGGUGAGUAAUGCCUAGGAAUCUGCCUGGUAGUGGGGGAUAACGUCCGGAAACGGGCGCUAAUACCGCAUACGUCCUGAGGGAGAAAGUGGGGGAUCUUCGGACCUCACGCUAUCAGAUGAGCCUAGGUCGGAUUAGCUAGUUGGUGGGGUAAAGGCCUACCAAGGCGACGAUCCGUAACUGGUCUGAGAGGAUGAUCAGUCACCCUGGAACUGAGACACGGUCCAGACUCCUACGGGAGGCAGCAGUGGGGAAUAUUGGACAAUGGGCGAAAGCCUGAUCCAGCCAUGCCGGGUGUGUGAAGAAGGUCCUCGGAUUGGAAAGCACUUUAAGUUGGGAGGAAGGGCAGUAAGUUAAUACCUUGCUGUUUUGACGGUACCAACAGAAUAAGCACCGGCUAACUUCGUG
This 484-nucleotide ribosomal RNA is filed under the name uncultured bacterium. Its description in RNAcentral is "partial 16S ribosomal RNA". It matches the Rfam family "Bacterial small subunit ribosomal RNA", at positions 30 to 507 of the family's 1533-position model. The record is from RNAcentral.